RNAcentral lists this ribosomal RNA (237 nucleotides) under uncultured bacterium. RNAcentral's name for it is "partial 16S ribosomal RNA". It matches the Rfam family "Bacterial small subunit ribosomal RNA", at positions 15 to 236 of the family's 1533-position model. The record is from RNAcentral.
GAUCAUGGCUCAGGACGAACGCUGGCGGCGUGCCUAACACAUGCAAGUCGAACGGAGAAUUUUAUUUCGGUAGAAUUCUUAGUGGCGAACGGGUGAGUAACGCGUAGGCAACCUGCCCUUUAGACGGGGACAACAUUCCGAAGGAGUGCUAAUACCGGAUGUGAUCAUCGUGCCGCAUGGCAGGAUGAAGAAAGAUGGCCUCUCGAAGCAAGCUAUCGCUAAAGGNUGGGCCUGCGU